Long non-coding RNA from Suricata suricatta (meerkat), 997 nucleotides. RefSeq lists it as uncharacterized. NCBI's taxonomy places the organism in Eukaryota, Metazoa, Chordata, Mammalia, Carnivora, Herpestidae. The transcript has 6 exons. The record is from RefSeq and is a predicted model, not a curated record.
CGUGGCACCGCUGCUGGGAUCCGCGGUCCUGUCCCCUCACUGCCUCAUAGGAGCCCCGAGACCGGACCCAGAGAGUUGUCCCCAUGUGGUCCCCUCUUCCAGCCGGGCGCGUUAAGACCUGCCCUGUGCCUGCGACGGAGCCAGAAAGAAUCACCUUCAGAGAUUCAUCUGCCAGAAUGGAAGGUGACAAAAUUCCACUGACGCCUUGGUCGUAAUUUUUGUAAUGGGCUUCCAGUGUCAUUCCUGAAUCUUAGAGAUGCCCACUGAGGGGUUCAUGGGUGAAAUAACAUCAUGCCUGAGCUCUGCCUCAAAUACUUCAGCAAAAGGAGCAAUGGGGGGAGAAGACAGAAGCAGAGAAUGCAGGAGAGAAGAUAAAGAAACACAAUGACAGAGAUGACAAAGAAGAUGAAAGAGGAGGACAGAAAACAAAACCCCAUGGGAAUGAUGGACUAGGACUGGCAAAAUGGCUUCUUGAGCAAACGCAUUCAUGGUUAUCUUCGUUAAAACUGGUUUCACUCUGCCAACAAUCAACUUGAUUGACAUAUUUACAUAUCAACUCAUCUCAUCUUACAAAUUCUAAACUUUUUCACUUAAAAUUGGAUUCAAGUUGGCAUCUUUCAAGAACUUUAUGCAAUAUGAUCGGUGUUUAGGUGUACAAUGGUCUCCAGUAUUUACUGCAAUAUCUGUAGAUAAUGUCAACCUUAUGCACAGUGUUAUGCACUUAAGUGAAGAAAGACUGCCUGUUGUAAAGACAGAAGAGGCAUCUCGACCGUACAUGUUUCAACAGAACAUCCUCUCCCUGCAAUGAACUGAAUGCUCACCACAGCUUUCCCCCCAGAUCUGGAUUAGCCCCUGCCAGCCCUCUAUCCCAGCUUCCCCUACCCUCCACACAAACACACUGAUGAUGCCGGCAAAUAUGACAGCUUUAAACCUCGACAUUGGCUAGCUUGAAUUUUAGAAAGCAAAUGGAGAAUUAAAGAAAUUCAUGGGAAUAAAA